GUGAGACACACGACCUCACUCUACCCUUCGUUGUAACCUCACAUCACCGUGAACAAUGUGACCCUUCGUCACCCCUGUUUUAUCUGUCCAAACCAGGUGGUGAAUAUCCUCUGGUGGACAAUGACCUUGGACAAGGAGGGACUAUAUGUUAGUCUUAGGGACCAGUUAUAACUCCAACAUUGUUCAACUGGGAUAGGAGACGUUAUUGACAUCCAUCAAGAAUACAAUACGAUCGUUCGGCCAUCGUGUUUGUGUGCGUUGUCCAGUUCAUUUAUGGGGUACAACUUACGAGACACGCUCCUCUGAUAUAUAACGUCGUCCAAUAUACGACGUCAUCAAGUUGCCAGCGCAUGUUCGAAUCUCCAGAUAUGACAUUAUGA
This is a long non-coding RNA of Haliotis rufescens (red abalone), 380 nucleotides long. RefSeq lists it as uncharacterized. The transcript is spliced from 3 exons. The record is from RefSeq and is a predicted model, not a curated record. NCBI's taxonomy places the organism in Eukaryota, Metazoa, Mollusca, Gastropoda, Lepetellida, Haliotidae.